RNAcentral lists this ribosomal RNA (253 nucleotides) under uncultured bacterium. Its description in RNAcentral is "partial 16S ribosomal RNA". It matches the Rfam family "Bacterial small subunit ribosomal RNA", at positions 524 to 776 of the family's 1533-position model. The record is from RNAcentral.
UACAGAGGUCCCAAGCGUUGUUCGGAUUCACUGGGCGUAAAGGGUGCGUAGGUGGUAGGGUAAGUUUGAUGUGAAAUCUCCGGGCUUAACCCGGAAACUGCAUUGAAUACUAUCUUACUCGAGGUUUGGAGGGGGGACUGGAAUUCUCGGUGUAGCAGUGAAAUGCGUAGAUAUCGAGAGGAACACCAGUGGCGAAGGCGAGUCCCUGGACAACACCUGACACUGAGGCACGAAGGCCAGGGGAGCAAACGGG